GUCCAGGGUCAGCCCGGCCUGCGGCCCUGGUUACGGCUUUGUCCCUCGGGCUGGAACUGGUCCCAUGCUAGCAGGCUUAGAAUGGCUGGCUGUCAGGGAGGGCAAUGCUUACCGAAAAGGAAUGGAGCUCUUGGCUGGAGAGGGGUUGAGGUCUGCCUUUAGCCUCUGAAAUCCUCAUGAAGACUUCAACCAAGGAGGGGGAGAGAGCAGAGAGGGAAGUGGGUGUGGGAGUGGCCCAGACUCUGGAGGACAUAACUUCCAGAAGUGCCUCCGGAGGAGGUCCCAGUUGCUGCUCCAAGUCACCCCUGCAGCCAGGUUCCCCGAGCCCUUCCAGAGAUGGUCAGCAGUGGAGAGUCAGAGAGGAAGCACACUGAGGCAUCACUGUAGCCCUACACACAUUGCCUUGGUGGCCCCAAGCCCUCCAGGGUCAUGCUGAGAUGGAGUCAGAGCUUGGCAUCAGCCUCCCUCCGCAGCCCCUGCACACACGGCAACCUGCAGGAAGAGAUGAAUGAGCCGAGGCCCAGGACACUGGAGCAGAUAUUUAUUGGUGGUAGGAUGUGCCAGGCCCUGUCCCAGGUGUGAGGAAUCCCGCGGUGAACGCCCUGGUCAGCCAGCGAUGUCCUGGAGUGGACCGCCGGUGGGGACAGAUGUCUGGCACACCUGUGACCUGGUAAAUCCACAAACCACAACUGGCUCUUUGGGAUGCGUAGUGGGAAGGUGCAUGCCAGGCUGAGUGCUGGGGAAGAGCAUCAGGGAGGUCCCGGUGCCAAGGCCCUGAGGCAGAGAUGGCUCCAUGAGAUCCAGGGUUGGGAAGGAGGUGGACAAGCAAUGGGACAGAUGAAGCCAAAGGUGCAGGGCCUUUGGGCUGAGGCGGGGAGGAGGUUGGGCUCAUUCCCAUCUCUCAAUUUCAGGGAUCAGCUUAUUAGAGUUGGAGCCCUUAUGAUUCUGUGGCCCCUGUUGGGAGGUGAUGUCUCUAGCUUGUUAAAAGCUCUGGGUGAUUCUCUUCAAGGCAGCCAUUCGUUAGUUCACUUAUUCAUCAGCAAACAUCUCCAGAGCCAGCUGUGCUGGGGGCUGGGUGAGGAAAGACCUGGUCCCCGACCUCCAGGAGGGGCAGUGUGAUAGGGUUGGGGAAUAGAGACAAGCAGAGGGUGCAAAGCCCCACUGGAGGUCAGGGAGGGCUUCCUGGAGGAGGUAUCAUCUGAACAGAGCUGCACUGGCACACAGUUCCAGACAGGCCAGACAAGCAGCCACACGGUGUGCUGAGGGCAGGGGGAGUAAGGGAAGGGGUCCUAACAAGGCCUGCAGCCCCUACAGCAGGAGCCCCUGAGCUCAAAGCUUCCUGCGCCCCCUUUCACAGAAGGGGAGACAGAGGCCCAGGAAUGCAGUGGGUCUGGCGCCCCUGUGGUCUGAAUUGCCCCUGGCAGCUUGUAACCGGAGCAGAGCAGACCGAGGGCUGAUUCGAAGCUGACUCAGCUCCGCACGUGCGCGGGUGCGUGCUUGUGCGUGGGAUCUGUCAGCCCUGGGAUUUUGGGCUCCCUCCCUCAUUUGCUGAACAAGCCUCCUCAAGUUACUUAAUCUCCCUGAGCCCCUUCACAUCUGUAGGAUGCGUGCUGCUCUCCAUACCUGGCUGAGUUCUUGGAGGUGGUACAGGCCUGGCCCUUGCGUAGAGCGCAGGAGACUCAGAAGAAGUGUGUGACCCUGGGCCUCAGGCCGUCCCUGCGCUCCGUUCCGUGCAGCCCACUCCCCACCCCAGGGGAAAGAACGCCUAGCAUCUUCUCUUUUUUGCCCUCCCACCUUGCAUGGCUAUGGGGCAGACAGCACUUCACCAUGAGGGAGCCUGAGGGACACUGAGGCCCAGAGAUCGUGAGCUGCCAGCUUAGGUCACAGAGCAGGGGCCUGGCACCUUGAGCAGAGAUGCCCCCAUCACCGGGCUCAGAGUCCCUGGGAGCAGAGGCAGCCUGGCCGGAUCACAGACGCAGGCCAGGGUGUGGAAGGAAACUGCCCCACCCCCGCCGUCCCCUGCUACAUAGGCGAC
Molecule: long non-coding RNA, 2035 nt
Organism: Canis lupus familiaris (dog)
Lineage: Eukaryota; Metazoa; Chordata; Mammalia; Carnivora; Canidae
Exons: 5
Source: RefSeq, a predicted model, not a curated record